Amaranthus tricolor (Joseph's coat) is the source of this 6758-nucleotide RNA transcript. It is a transcript of the gene named DExH-box ATP-dependent RNA helicase DExH7, chloroplastic, with no coding region annotated. The record is from RefSeq and is a predicted model, not a curated record. Lineage: Eukaryota; Viridiplantae; Streptophyta; Magnoliopsida; Caryophyllales; Amaranthaceae. The transcript is spliced from 37 exons.
CAAACUCUUUAAACAACCCAUUAGAUUAUUUGAGGCUUUGAGCAGAACAGUAGUUAGUAGACGAAGGGAACCUUCAAAAUUCCAUAAAAAUGGCUCCGAAGAAGAAGCAACAGCAGCAGAAAAGCAAUAAAAAACCUCAAUCAUCAUCAUCAUCAAAAGGUCCGAAGCUGCAAAUUUCGGUAGAGAACGAGGAGAGAUUGCGUCGCUUGCUACUCAACAAUACUACAAAUACUUCUACUGUCCGACCCGUACCUGAAGAUUCACUCUCCAAAGCACAGAAAGCCAAAAAGCUCAAAUCCAUUUACGAACACCUCUCUUGCGAAGGCUUUACUGAUGAUCAGAUUGAGCAGGCUCUUUCUGCUCUUAAGGAUGCUGCAACUUUUGAAGUUGCAUUGGACUGGUUGUGCUUAAAUUUAUCUCGAACUGAGCUACCAGUCAAGUUCCGAGAUGCGUCAUCUCUUCAUACAGGAGGGUCUAUCAGUGUGCUAUCUACUGCCCAAGAAAAUUGGACUCACCCAGCUGAUACAUCACUUAGAUCUGAGGAUGAAGUUUGCCGAUUUUCUGUCAUAACGAAAGGCCACCAUGAUGAUGAUUCUUUUGUUUUACAUGAGCCCUCCCAAGCUGAUUGGAUUCGUCAAUACAUGGAGAGAGAGGAUGAGAUGGAAUCUGAAACUUGGGAAGAUAUGUUCUCAGAUGAAGGAGCUAACAAGAAGGUUGCUGAACCAAGGCCGUAUGAUUUGAUUUUUGAAGAUUACCAAUCUGCACGUUUGGAAGCUGUUGCUGCUAAGGAGAAAGGGGACAAGAAAGGCCAGGAAGCAGCUAGUAAUAGAAUCCGCAUGCUCAAGCAGGAGAUAUCUUCCUUAGGGGAAUCUGAUAGACUCAUGUCUGAUAUUAGCAAUAUGAAGGCACCUUGCUCUGUGGACGACAAACAAAACUAUAGUACGGAUGCCAUGGAUGAUUCAUCAAUUUGUAAAGUGGACAUGGAGCAUUGCUCCAAGGAUGAGGUCACAGUUAAAAACAUUCUUGUUGAUAAGGUGGCAGCUGUAGAAGAGGAAUCUGAAGACACGGAGCUUGGUAAUUUUUUUAUGGAAGAUGAUUCAAGUAAUGUAGCCUUACCCCCUGAAGUCUUGAUGAUUCAGAGUAAAGCAAGGACAAGAGCUUUUCCAACUAGCAAGGAUUUGGAAAAAUUAGAGGGCAUUUGGAAGAAGGGCGAUUCACCAAGGAUUCCUAAAGCUCUCCUUCAUCAACUGUGCCAAAGAUCAGGCUGGGACCUUCCAAAAUUUGACAAAGUGGGUAAGAAAGGAAGUGGUUUCAGUUAUAGUGUUAGCGUGUUGCGUAAGUCUACAGGGAGGGGUAAGAGCAGAAAAGCUGGUGGUUUGAUGACUUUGCAGCUCCCUGGGCCGGUUGAAGUUUUUGAAUCUGUGGAGGAAGCACAAAAUAGAGUAGCUGCUUUCGCCCUUCGCCACUUGUUUCCUGAUAUACCAGUUCAGUUUCUGAUUACAGAGCCAUAUGCUACACUUGUUAGUAAAUGGCAAGAAGGGGAAUCGUCUAACAUGAUUGAUAACGCUCUGGAAGAUCGAAGAUCUGGUUUUGUGGAUUCAUUAUUAAAUGCUGAUUCUUCGGUAAAGAUUAAUUUAGGUGAUGUUGGUGAUAGCUUGAAUGAAAAUGAGGCUUCUGAGUUGUUCGAUGAGCAAUUUUCUGCUGCUGGUUUCCAUGGGAAUAACUCUUUGGUAGAAAAGGAAUGCUCACUAUUAAGACAAGAACUAGAAAAAAAAAGAAAAACAUCAAGAUACAAGAGCAUGUUGGAAGCCAGAUCAAUGCUUCCAAUUGCUAAAACAAAGGAUGAAAUAUUGCAGUCAUUGAAACAGAACAAUGUCAUUGUUGUUUGUGGGGAAACAGGUUCUGGGAAGACUACUCAGGUCCCACAAUAUAUAUUGGAUGACAUUAUUAUGGCUGGCCGUGGAGGACAUUGCAACAUAGUGUGUACACAACCUCGACGAAUUGCAGCAAUUUCUGUUGCUGAAAGGGUCGCUGAUGAGAGAUGCGAACCUGCACCUGGUGUAGAUGGAUCGUUGAUUGGUUACCAAGUUCGCCUAGAUAGUGCAAGGCAUGAUGGAACUAAACUCCUUUUCUGUACAACUGGAAUUCUUUUGCGGCAAAUUGUGGGGAACAAGAGCUUUCAAGGUGUUACCCAUGUUAUAGUUGAUGAGGUGCAUGAACGCUCUUUGUUGGGUGAUUUCCUUCUUAUCAUGUUAAAGAAUUUACUGGAAAAGCAAUCUUCUCAUGGCACCCCAUCAUUUAAAGUUAUACUAAUGUCUGCAACACUUGACGCAAAUUUGUUUUCGAGAUACUUCGGGGAUUGCCCUGUGAUUACUGCAGAAGGUCGAACUCAUCCUGUGUCAACUUUCUUUCUUGAAGAUGUAUAUGAAAAAAUCAACUAUCGUCUUCCAUCAGAUUCUCCUGUCUCUUUAGGCUUUGAGACAUUUGGCCAUCAGAUAGUCCGUGGUUCAAUUGACAAUCGUAGAGGGAACAAAAAUCUUGUCUUAUCUUCACUUGGUGAUGAAGCUCUACUUUCAGAAGAAUGCAUAAAUCCACUGUAUGAUCCCAAUGCAUAUCAGUCAUACACUGAGCAAACACGACUGAAUCUGAAAAAAUUGAAUGAAGAUGUAAUUGAUUAUGAUCUACUUGAAGACUUGGUGUGCCACAUCGAUGAAAACUGUGGCAAUGGAGCCAUUCUUAUUUUCUUGCCAGGAAUUUCAGAAAUUUACCGAUUGCAUGAUAAGCUCGCUGCUUCAUAUCGAUUUGGUGGAGAAUCUUCUGAGUGGCUCCUGCCGUUGCACUCAUCUAUUGCUGCAGCUGACCAAAAAAAGGUGUUUCUGACGCCACCCAAAAACAUGCGUAAGAUUAUAAUGGCAACAAAUAUUGCAGAAACAAGCUUGACAAUAGAUGACGUGGUGUAUGUUGUUGAUUCCGGGAAGCAUAAGGAGUAUCGUUAUGACCCUAAGAAGAAACUCUCAAGGAUGGUUGAAGAUUGGAUAUCACAAGCAAACGCAAAGCAAAGACGAGGAAGAGCUGGACGAGUAAAGCCUGGUACUUGUUUUUGCUUGUAUACGCGCCAAAGAUUUGAAAAUAUAAUGCGUCCAUUCCAGGUUCCAGAGAUGCUAAGAAUGCCUCUGGUAGAAUUAUGUUUGCAGAUUAAGUUGCUUUCUCUUGGUGACAUAAAGUUAUUUUUGUCCAAGGCUCUUGAAAUACCAAAGGAUGAAGCCAUUAAUUCGGCAGUCUCAUCAUUAAAGGAGGUUGGUGCUGUUGAUGAAAAUGAGGAGCUGACUCCCCUUGGGCAUCAUUUGGCUAAACUUCCUGUUGACUUGCUGCUCGGAAAGAUGAUGCUAUAUGGUGCAAUAUUUGGCUGUUUAUCACCUAUUCUCUCAAUUGCUGCAAUCUUGAGUUACAAAUCGCCAUUUGUUCACCUGAGAGACGAGAGAGAAGGUGUCGAAAGAUCAAAACUGGCAAUUUUAUCAGACAAGACUGAUGAAUCAAUCAAUUCAUGCGAUAAUGAGAAGCAAUCUGAUCACAUCAUAAUGAUGAUUGCCUAUAAUAAAUGGGAAAAGAUUCUUCGAGUGAAAGGAGUCAAGGCUGCUCAAAAUUUCUGUAGACUACAUUCUCUCAGCAGCUCAGUUAUGAAUAUGAUUAGAGAUAUGCGGGUGCAGCUUGGAACACUACUAGCAGAUAUUGGACUUAUCCAUCUCCCGAAAGAGUAUCAGGUUAAGAAGAAAGGGAACCUGGAUAGCUGGCUUUCUGAUACAUCUCAAUCAUUUAACAAGCAUGCCGAUCAUUAUGCAGUGGUUAAGGCUAUAUUGUGUGCAGGGUUGUAUCCCAAUGUGGCAGCAACAGUAGAGGGUAUUCAUGCUCCAGCUCUUGGAAAUCUGAGACAAUCUAUUAAAUCUGUAUCUAAGGGAACUCCAGCUUGGUAUGAUGGAAAGAGAGAAGUUCAUAUACAUCCUUCUUCUGUCAAUGGAGAUUCAAAGACUUUCCAGUAUCCCUUCCUUGUAUUUCUUGAAAAGGUUGAAACCAACAGAAUUUUUCUUCGAGACACUACCAUUAUUUCUCCAUAUUCUCUUCUACUUUUUGGUGGUGCCAUAAAUGUUCAACAUCAGUUGGGACUUGUCACAGUUGAUGGUUGGUUGAAGGUGUCUGCACCCGCACAAACAGCUGUGUUGUUCAAGGAACUCCGCUUAACACUCCAAUCUGUUCUUAAUGAACUGAUUCGUUACCCACAGAGAGCAACAACUGAGAACGAAGUUUUGCAAUCUAUAAUUCACUUGCUGUUGGAGGAAACAAAAUCUCAAGCAUGACAAGUUAGUCAAAGCAAUACAGAUUCAAUUAUGGAUUUUUGGAUCAUCAUAGGAUCACCAUGGAAGAAAAGUGGAUCAAAAACACACGUAAGAAAUAAUGCUCACUCGUCAAUUGUCAUCUAUGAGCUAAAUAAUACACUAUUAUAAUACAUAUAACAAUUCAUAUAUCAUGAUAAAAGCCACCUUUACCGCUCAUUGGGCAGAUAGAGGGGCAUGUGAGCCAAUUGCUAUUAUAUUGAAACUCAUGAUAUUCCGGUUGAGCUUAGCUAGUGAAGGAAACCUAUACAAGCCACCUUUGCACUUGAUCCUUUACUAAGAAUGGACCAUAGAAUAUGGCUGUUAGUUGUAACAAGGGUGCUUGGCCAAAGAUCAAACAGUACUGCUGCAGCUUAAAAUACACCUAUUCACUCACCUUCAACUUUCAUCUCUUCAACGACUGUCGAUAGCCUCUCUAUUUUUUUAAUGCUUUAAUAAAUUAGCUCGCGAAUCAUCAAUGGGAGCUUCUCGUUCUGCUAGCAACUGCUUCAAGCUUUUCACAGUAGAGCCACGCCUAAUUUGAAUUUGUAGGGUGGAGCCCUUCGCAUACACGGAUUUAAAAUGUAGCAUUAAUAGAAUGUGGGAUGUGUUGUAACAAAAGUGUUCCCAAUGCAACACCUUCGCCCGCUUACGGUUACAGACACAGUUUACCCAUUGAUGAAGCAUCUAAGUUAAGCUUCAAGCCUCUCAUAAUACAAUCUCUGUUUUCCUAUACUCCAGUCCCAUCUGAUUGAGGGUGAUAUACCAUUUAUCUGCAUUGUGUCCCAUGAAACCUAAAUAAUUAUUGCUAGAAAUACUCAUGAACAUUAUGUCUCUACCCUAUGAUAUUUAUUAGGAAACAUGGAUGCACAAUAUUCUUUUACACAUAAACUGCUGUUGUAAGAGUUGCAAAAGGGUGUUUGAGUGCCACCAAACGUGCGUACUUAGACAAAUGGUCUGAGUUUACAUGGCAUGCCUUGCACAAUCCAAGUAAAUAACUUUUCCAAAUUUAUGAUGGUAUGGGCAGAGGUUGUCAUAAUCAGACUGGGAUGUGAUGUGAGGUUUUUUCUGUUGACAAAUCUAACAUUUGUUAGUGUUGAUUAAUCUGUGCAAUUAAGUAGUCCUGCUGCAUUAUAACGACUCCCAAUUCAUUUCCUGAAGCAUCCACCUUGACACAAAUGCUUGAGAAGAAUUUGUCAUGCGUAGAAUUGAGGUGGAAAUCAUAUCUGUCUCUUGAAGAAUUGCCGCACCGAAAAUGACAUGCCUAAAUUAGGACCUUCUAUUCACAUUCUUGCAUUGGCAAACAUGUUAGAAAAACUUAUUAUGGGAACUGGAAAAUAGUUGGAGCGCUGGCUAGUAUAAUGGCAUAACCAAGAAUUCAGUGCCAUUCAUGAUUAUUGUAGGUGGUUUUGUGAAAUCAUCCCCUUCACCCAAAUUUAAUGAUAUUUAACUUCAAAACCAACUUUGAGAAUGCUUUGGACCAAUGGAUUUAGUCUGAAAGUUCAUCAUCAAUCACUGGCAUUGGAUACUGGUCACCUUCUUAUUGAGGGCUUAAUAAUCGACACAAAACCUCCAUGACUCGACAGAUUAAAUCACCGCAUUGGAUGCUUUGAAAUAUUGCCGUUGGAUGGAUUUAUUAUGCAAACCUUUGAUAUGUCAACUGUUGUAUUGAAAAUCGAAUAGUGAUAGGGUCUCCUUUUGAAACAAAGGCAUGAUUGCGCUCACACAGUAGGAUAGGCCUGUGGGCAUAUUGAACACUUGCAAACUGAGCAGCGAAUGCUACUUCCACAAGGUCCGAAUUAUCAUGUUGAGGGUAAUUCAGAAUGAUUCAACGGCAGAUUCCCUUCAAUAUCUACCUCAAAAUUCAUGGUUCCCAAUUUCCAAUUUGCGGUAACAGCCCCAGUCCUUCCUACCACUGCAAGUCCAGAAUCGCAGAAUAAAAUCCUCCCAUGCAUCCACAACUUGAGAAUUGAAUAGUAGUCGUAUUUGGGGUAGUGGGAGGAGUGGUUGCGCUAGGCCUCUACAUUGAAUUUUUAUAGAAAGAGAAUAUUGGGCUAGGGAUAGAAGAUAGAGAUGAUGUAGAAGAAGAAAUGAGAAGGAUGAAGAAUAGAUGAAAGAGGGAGGAGCAAAGGGGAGAUAAAGAAAGAGGUGGGAUUAGAGAUGGGUUUGGAACUAAAUUCGACCUUAAUUCAAGGGUUGGAGUUUAAGUCUUUUUGGACCUACUUCGAAUGAGAGUCAAGAUAGUAAAGAUUAGGUUUGAAAUUGGGUCUAUAUUUAUUUGAUCUGGAUUCGAUCCUAUAUAUUUACCGUUAUUUGAAUAUUUAACUCAUAGUUAUUGUAACUUUAUUAUUAUUCUUUUUUGAUAAUUUUAUAGUUAAAAAAGUUUUUUAG